This 116-nucleotide ribosomal RNA is filed under the name Heterocephalus glaber (naked mole-rat). The record is from RNAcentral. Lineage: Eukaryota; Metazoa; Chordata; Mammalia; Rodentia; Bathyergidae.
UCUACCACCAUACCAUCCUGAACACACCUGAUCUCAUCUGAUCUCAGAAGCUAAGCAGGGUUGGGCCUGGUUAGUACUUGGAUGGGAGAACAGAAACACUUAGUCAACUGGAAGAG